This 115-nucleotide ribosomal RNA is filed under the name Pseudooceanicola lipolyticus. The record is from RNAcentral. Lineage: Bacteria; Pseudomonadati; Pseudomonadota; Alphaproteobacteria; Rhodobacterales; Paracoccaceae.
UUUGGUGAUCAUAGCGAGAGCAAAACACCCGGCUCCAUUCCGAACCCGGCCGUUAAGUGCCUUAGCGCCGAUGGUACUGCGUCUUAAGACGUGGGAGAGUAGGUCAUCGCCAAAC